RNAcentral lists this ribosomal RNA (388 nucleotides) under uncultured eukaryote. RNAcentral describes it as "partial 18S ribosomal RNA". It matches the Rfam family "Eukaryotic small subunit ribosomal RNA", at positions 592 to 976 of the family's 1831-position model. The record is from RNAcentral.
CAAUAGCGUAUAUUAAAGUUGUUGCAGUUAAAAAGCUCGUAGUUGGAUUUCUGAUCGAGACAUCAGGUCGGGUCCGAGAGGAUCAUGUACUUUGAUUUUGUUUUGAUCAUCCUUGGGGAGAGCAUUUCUGGCAUUCAGUUGUCGGGAUUGGGAUCCUCAUCGUUUACUGUGAAAAAAUUAGAGUGUUCAAAGCAGGCCUCGGCCUCUGAAUACAUUAGCAUGGAAUAAUAAGAUAGGACUUUGGUGGUCUAUUUUGUUGGUUUGCACGCCAAAGUAAUGAUUAAUAGGGAUAGUUGGGGGUAUUCGUAUUCAAUCGUCAGAGGUGAAAUUCUUGGAUUUAUGGAAGACGAACUACUGCGAAAGCAUUUACCAAGGAUGUUUUCAUUAA